AGUUGUAGUCAAAUAGAUUUCGUAUUAGGUUAGCAUUAUAUUUUAUUAUUUUACGUAGGAGUACUAGUAAGCACUAACUGUCUAACAGGAGUCGUCAUGUAUUAAUAUAGUAAGCUUACUACUACUAGUACGGUAACACAGUUUGUCAUAUUAAGCUCUGGCUGGUACUAGUAGUA
Molecule: long non-coding RNA, 176 nt
Organism: Priapulus caudatus
Lineage: Eukaryota; Metazoa; Priapulida; Priapulimorpha; Priapulimorphida; Priapulidae
Exons: 3
Source: RefSeq, a predicted model, not a curated record